GUAUCUCUGUAAAAUCCUCUUUGAUGUUCUCAGUUUGGAUGGGCUUGUUUAAUGCUAAAACCGGAAACGUGAAAAAAAUGGAGCAUUCUUGGACAUAGGAAAUUGGCUGUUCAGCAAUGCUGGCUGCUUCAACACAUGCAUCUUGGACAUUCUAGGCCAGUUGCAGUAGACUUGUGGUAUGCUGUCAUCUAAAACUUGGAAUGCAUUUGUCUGUUUGUGCGCCAUAGCUGAACCAAGGGCCAAUGGUGGGUUUGUCAUGGUCUUUUGUUGGUUCAAGCAUAGAGCCUUAGCCUUGUAGUGUGGUGCACUGUGAGCAAGGAAUGAGCAUACUCUUGUGGUGGUGCUGCAGUUGAUGUUAGCAGGUUUGGAUUGGUUGCAAAGUUGUAGUCUCAAUUGACUGUGGUGCUUCUGUUAUUGGCCUGGCGUGCUUCAAGUUUGCAAAUAGGUCCAUAUGCAUGAUGGUUCCAGCUGGCAUGUUGAACUGUUUGGUCCAGUUUCAUUGUUCAAUAGCAAAUUGGAUGGUUCGUGGCAAGGUUCAUCACUGGUUUAGGUUUGCACUGCAGCUUAGUUCAUUGCUCAAUUACUUGGUGGCAGCUUGGUGAAUUUGGUCAUUGAUUUUAUAACAACAAGGUUGGAUUUUAAAGCAACAUGUACCAUUGGUUAUUCAAGGAUCAAAAUGGAACAUGGAAGGUUAUGGUUAGAAUAUGGAUUGUGCUGGCAUUUGCUGUUGUUUAUCUUGCAGGUCAUGUGAGCUUGGACUCUGUACCGCAAGUGUGGUACCAUUCCAGCAGAAGGAAUUGUUUUCAAAAUGUUUCUACAGGCUGUGAAUAAGCAUGUUUAGGUUGCUGCUGCUGAUAGCUGUUAUAGUAGCCUAAGUAUCCCGUACUGCUGCCAUAGCCAUAUGGAUUAGAAGAGUUUGCAUAUGAUGUGUGGCUGCGGAUGCUGAUCAUACUGGUAGGUUGGAUUAGAAUAAACUCCAUUUGCCGUGGAGCUCUGAACAGUCCAUGAUAUAGCUUCAGGCCUAGAUGUCGUGGUAGCAUAUGAAGAUGUCUUGAUGUUGGUU
This is a long non-coding RNA of Lathyrus oleraceus (garden pea), 1063 nucleotides long. RefSeq lists it as uncharacterized. The transcript has 6 exons. NCBI's taxonomy places the organism in Eukaryota, Viridiplantae, Streptophyta, Magnoliopsida, Fabales, Fabaceae. The record is from RefSeq and is a predicted model, not a curated record.